AUGACACGUCCAAAACACCUAGGCGGGCUGGGAUUCAUAGAUCUGGAGAUAUUCAACCUAGCUUUGUUGUCGCGUCAGGCCUGGAGACUCUUGCAAGAACCAUUGAGUUUGAGUGCAAGGAUUUUGAAGGUUGCAUACUACCCUGAUAGUACGGUACUUAACGCUGAGUUGGGAUCUAGACCUUCUUAGAUCUGGCGAGCUAUCAUGGAGGGGCUG
RNAcentral lists this ribosomal RNA (216 nucleotides) under Triticum aestivum (bread wheat). RNAcentral's name for it is "partial small subunit ribosomal RNA". Lineage: Eukaryota; Viridiplantae; Streptophyta; Magnoliopsida; Poales; Poaceae. The record is from RNAcentral.